GGAGAGGUGGCAGAGUGGUUGAUUGCGCCGGUCUUGAAAACCGGAGUGCCAGUAAUGGCACCGAGGGUUCGAAUCCCUCCUUCUCCGCCA
This 90-nucleotide transfer RNA is filed under the name Puniceicoccales bacterium. Its description in RNAcentral is "tRNA-Ser". It matches the Rfam family "tRNA". Rfam says of the family: Transfer RNA (tRNA) molecules are approximately 80 nucleotides in length. Their secondary structure includes four short double-helical elements and three loops (D, anti-codon, and T loops). Further hydrogen bonds mediate the characteristic L-shaped molecular structure. tRNAs have two regions of fundamental functional importance: the anti-codon, which is responsible for specific mRNA codon recognition, and the 3' end, to which the tRNAs corresponding amino acid is attached (by aminoacyl-tRNA synthetases). tRNAs cope with the degeneracy of the genetic code in two manners: having more than one tRNA (with a specific anti-codon) for a particular amino acid; and 'wobble' base-pairing, i.e. permitting non-standard base-pairing at the 3rd anti-codon position. The record is from RNAcentral. Lineage: Bacteria; Pseudomonadati; Verrucomicrobiota; Opitutia; Puniceicoccales.